GAUGAACGCUGGCGGCGUGCCUAAUACAUGCAAGUCGAGCGAACGGACGAGAAGCUUGCUUCUCUGAUGUUAGCGGCGGACGGGUGAGUAACACGUGGAUAACCUACCUAUAAGACUGGGAUAACUUCGGGAAACCGGAGCUAAUACCGGAUAAUAUUUUGAACCGCAUGGUUCAAAAGUGAAAGACGUUCUUGCUGUCCCUUAUAGAUGGAUCCGCGCUGCAUUAGCUAGUUGGUAAGGUAACGGCUUACCAAGGCAACGAUGCAUAGCCGACCUGAGAGGGUGAUCGGCCACACUGGAACUGAGACACGGUCCAGACUCCUACGGGAGGCAGCAGUAGGGAAUCUUCCGCAAUGGGCGAAAGCCUGACGGAGCAACGCCGCGUGAGUGAUGAAGGUCUUCGGAUCGUAAAACUCUGUUAUUAGGGAAGAACAUAUGUGUAAGUAACUGUGCACAUCUUGACGGUACCUAAUCAGAAAGCCACGGCUAACUACGUG
This 497-nucleotide ribosomal RNA is filed under the name uncultured bacterium. RNAcentral's name for it is "partial 16S ribosomal RNA". It matches the Rfam family "Bacterial small subunit ribosomal RNA", at positions 28 to 507 of the family's 1533-position model. The record is from RNAcentral.